Molecule: ribosomal RNA, 726 nt
Filed under: uncultured soil bacterium
Lineage: Bacteria
Description: bacterial SSU rRNA
Rfam family: Bacterial small subunit ribosomal RNA
Source: RNAcentral
CGCUGGCGGCGUGCCUAACACAUGCGAGUCGAACGCGAAAGUCCCGCAAGGGAUGAGUAGAGUGGCAAACGGGUGAGUAACACGUGGGUGACCUGCCCUCGAGCGGGGGAUAACGUCCCGAAAGGGACGCUAAUACCGCAUGACAUCCUGCCUUUGAACAGGCGGAGAUCAAAGCUGGGGAUCGCAAGACCUAGCACUUGAGGAGGGGCCCGCGCCUGAUUAGCUAGUUGGUGAGGUAACGGCUCACCAAGGCUUCGAUCAGUAUCCGGCCUGAGAGGGCGGACGGACACACUGGGACUGAGACACGGCCCAGACUCCUACGGGAGGCAGCAGUGGGGAAUUGUUCGCAAUGGGCGCAAGCCUGACGACGCAACGCCGCGUGGAGGAUGAAGACCUUCGGGUCGUAAACUCCUUUCGAUCGAGACGAAUGGCCUCCGGGUGAACAAUCCGGAGGAGUGACGGUACCGAGAGAAGAAGCCCCGGCUAACUCCGUGCCAGCAGCCGCGGUAAUACGGGGGGGGCAAGCGUUGUUCGGAAUUACUGGGCGUAAAGGGCUCGUAGGCGGCCAACUAAGUCAGACGUGAAAUCCCUCGGCUUAACCGGGGAACUGCAUCUGAUACUGGAUGGCUUGAGUUCGGGAGAGGGAUGCGGAAUUCCAGGUGUAGCGGUGAAAUGCGUAGAUAUCUGGAGGAACACCGGUGGCGAAGGCGGCAUCCUGGACCGACA